UUGAAAGGGAAACGAUUGAAGUCAGUCAUGCUGGUGGGAAUCAACUUAGGGGAAACUCUAGGUGCACUUCUUCGCUUGGCAGGUUAACGUNGAUCUUGAAUGCCAUAAAAUAAUUGGGGGAAGGUAGCUCCUUCGGGAGUGUUAUAGCCCCUGAUAGAUGUGAUGUUUGGGGUCGAGGAUUGCAACGGAUACCUUUGGGGCUAGCCGCCUGAUCUCUAAUCGGUGUUGGGUUACGGAUAGCAUGCUGACCGUGAUCUAAUUACUGGUAAAAGGUUAGAGUGUGCAUAAAUCGUUAAGGAUGUUGACGUA
RNAcentral lists this ribosomal RNA (309 nucleotides) under uncultured Glomeromycotina. RNAcentral's name for it is "LSU rRNA". Lineage: Eukaryota; Fungi; Glomeromycota. The record is from RNAcentral.